This 969-nucleotide ribosomal RNA is filed under the name Isoparorchis hypselobagri. Its description in RNAcentral is "SSU rRNA". It matches the Rfam family "Eukaryotic small subunit ribosomal RNA", at positions 582 to 1442 of the family's 1831-position model. The record is from RNAcentral. Lineage: Eukaryota; Metazoa; Platyhelminthes; Trematoda; Azygiida; Isoparorchiidae.
ACUCCAGCUCCAGAAGCGUAUAUUAAAUUGUUGCAGUUAAAAGCUCGUAGUUGGAUCUGGGUAGCAUGGCUACGCGCUGUAGCUAGUUUCUUCACCAGUUUUCGGUGUUGAAAUUGCUCGGUGUAGUGGUCGUGUGACCUUUCUGCCGUGUCUGUGUACACAGGUGCCAACCGUUAGGUCGGCAUGCUCUCGGGUGCCUUUAAUCGGGUGUCCGGAGCAGACGGCACGUUUACUUUGAACAAAUUUGAGUGCUCAAAGCAGGCCGUAGAGCCUGAAAAGUCUUGCAUGGAAUAAUGGAAUAGGACUUCGGUUCUAUUUUGUUGGUUUUCGGAUCCGAAGUAAUGGUUAAGAGGGACAAACGGGGGCAUUUGUAUGGCGGCGUUAGAGGUGAAAUUCUUGGAUCGUCGCCAGACAAUCUACAGCGAAAGCAUUUGCCAAGGAUGUUUUCAUUGAUCUGGAGCGAAAGUCAGAGGUUCGAAGACGAUCAGAUACCGUCCUAGUUCUGACCAUAAACGAUGCCAACUGACGAUCCGCGGCGCGCUAUUUUCGGCCCCGCGGGCAGUCCCCGGGAAACCCUUAAGUCUUUGGGCUCCGGGGGAAGUAUGGUUGCAAAGCUGAAACUUAAAGGAAUUGACGGAAGGGCACCACCAGGAGUGGAGCCUGCGGCUUAAUUCGACUCAACACGGGAAAACUCACCCGGCCCGGACACCGUGAGGAUUGACAGAUUGAGAGCUCUUUCUUGAUUCGGUGGUUGGUGGUGCAUGGCCGUUCUUAGUUGGUGGAGCGAUUUGUCUGGUUAAUUCCGAUAACGAACGAGACUUUUGCCUGCUAAAUAGUGUGCCCGUCUUCUGUAUUUGUCCAGGGACCGGAAUGCUACGAUCCCUCGAAGGGUUGUGGCGUCUGUUUCUUUGGCUUGUGCGGCGCGGGUAAUCACUUCUUAGAGGGACAGCGGCAAUGAAUCCGCGCGAA